This 167-nucleotide non-coding RNA is filed under the name human gut metagenome. The record is from RNAcentral.
AUGAUAAGACAAAAGUUAAAAGGGAAACAGGUGAAAGACCUGUACGAACUCGUCACUGUAAUUAUGGAGUAUAAGAUAUAGAGUGCAUUUACUGUACAGUCACUGAAUAUUUUGGGAAGGCAUAUCUUAUGUGUUGAUAUAAAAGUCAGGAAACCUGCCAGCAGUUU